CACCGCGGUUAUACGAGAGGCCCAAGUUGAUGACCAUCGGCGUAAAGCGUGGUUAAGAAAAAACUUAAACUAAAGUCAAACAUCUUCAAGACUGUUAUACGUAACCGAAGACAGGAAGUUCAACCACGAAAGUGGCUUUAUCUGAUCUGAACCCACGAAAGCUAAGGAA
Molecule: ribosomal RNA, 169 nt
Filed under: Agonomalus proboscidalis
Lineage: Eukaryota; Metazoa; Chordata; Actinopteri; Perciformes; Agonidae
Description: partial 12S rRNA
Source: RNAcentral